AUCACGCCGCGUGAGGGAUGAAGGCCUCUGGGCUGUAAACCUCUUUUAUUAAGGAAGAAGAUCUGACGGUACUUGAUGAAUAAGCCACGGCUAAUUCCGUGCCAGCAGCCGCGGUAAUACGGGAGUGGCAAGCGUUAUCCGGAAUUAUUGGGCGUAAAGCGUCCGCAGGCGGUCUUUUAAGUCUGUCGUCAAAGCGUGGAGCUUAACUCCAUUUCUGCGAUGGAAACUGGAAGACUAGAGUGUGGUAGGGGCAGAGGGAAUUCCCGGUGUAGCGGUGAAAUGCGUAGAUAUCGGGAAGAACACCAGUGGCGAAGGCGCUCUGCUGGGCCAUAACUGACGCUCAUGGACGAAAGCCAGGGGAGCGAAAGGGAUUAGAUACCCCUGUAGUCCUGGCCGUAAACGAUGAACACUAGGUGUCGGGGGAAUCGACCCCCUCGGUGUCGUAGCCAACGCGUUAAGUGUUCCGCCUGGGGAGUACGCACGCAAGUGUGAAACUCAAAGGAAUUGACGGGGGCCCGCACAAGCGGUGGAGUAUGUGGUUUAAUUCGAUGCAACGCGAAGAACCUUACCAGGGUUUGACAUCCUGCGAAUCUCUUGGAAACGAGAGAGUGCCUUC
RNAcentral lists this ribosomal RNA (616 nucleotides) under uncultured bacterium. RNAcentral describes it as "bacterial SSU rRNA". It matches the Rfam family "Bacterial small subunit ribosomal RNA", at positions 391 to 1021 of the family's 1533-position model. The record is from RNAcentral.